Molecule: ribosomal RNA, 462 nt
Filed under: uncultured bacterium
Lineage: Bacteria
Description: partial 16S ribosomal RNA
Rfam family: Bacterial small subunit ribosomal RNA
Source: RNAcentral
GACGAACGCUGGCGGCGUGCUUAACACAUGCAAGUCGAACGGUGAAGCCCUUCGGGGUGGCUCAGUGGCGAACGGGUGAGUAACACGUGAGCAACCUGCCCCUGGCCCUGGGACAACCACUGGAAACGGUGGCUAAUACCGGAUACGACCCGCCUCGGCCCCGCGGGUGGGUGGAAAGGUUUUUGGCUGGGGCUGGGUUCGCGGCCGAUCAGCUUGGUGGUGGGGGGUAGGUGCGCCAAGGCGACGCCGGGUAGCCGGCCGUAGAGGGCGAACGGGCACCAUGCGCCUGAGACACGGCCCAGACUCCAACGGGAGGCAGCAGUGGGGAAUAUUGCACAAUGGGAGAAAGCCUGAUGCAGAGACGCCGCGUGAGGGAUGACGGCCUUCGGGUUGUAAACCUCUUUCAGCUACGAAGAAGCGAAAGUGACGGUAGGAGCAGAAGAAGCACCGGCUAACUACGUG